Acyrthosiphon pisum (pea aphid) is the source of this 694-nucleotide long non-coding RNA. RefSeq lists it as uncharacterized. The record is from RefSeq and is a predicted model, not a curated record. NCBI's taxonomy places the organism in Eukaryota, Metazoa, Arthropoda, Insecta, Hemiptera, Aphididae. The transcript has 2 exons.
GGCGGCGUGUUUCCCGAGCCGGCGGACACGCGGCGUGUUGUAGGUAUAUACGCGCGCGUAUAUAAAGUGCUCCUGGUUUAUGAGAUCACGACGGCGGCAGUGGCGGUGGCGGAGACACGAUGCGCGAAUAUAUAGAUUCGUAGUCGCACGCACAUCAACAAUAUGAAUGCAAUUAUUAACGAAGGAUUAUAUCUAUCAGAGCUGCACGGAACUAAAGACUGAAAUAUUUUUUAUGCACCUACAAUGUCUUAGCACCUUCAAGCUUCAAGAAAAGUUAUUGAGUCCUGCAAGUGAUAAGACGGUAAGGAAUUAUUUUUAUAUAAGUCUUGGUCAGUGCAAGUAAGCUAAACCAAAGAUGUCUAAACCAGGUAAGAUGAUUUUAUGUAUUUUGUAAAAUGUAUAUAUUAAUUAAUAUUGUCGUCCCCUCACUAUUUAAUCUCUACACCAAACACAUCACCCACUAUCGCCGGCCGGCGUCACACACACAAAAUAAACACUUUGUUCCAGGACCGUAAAAAAAUGUCUAUAAAUUGGUUUCGUGACAUUUAAAACAGGUUGAAUAGAGAAGUCCAAUAGGAAUAGUGAGUGGUUGCGGAGACUUAGAAAUAGGAAUUUGGUAAUCUUUAAAUAAUAAUAAAUAAAAUAUAAUAUUAAUAAUAAUCAUAAUAUGAUAAAUAUAAUAAUAAUAUAGUUA